GACGAACGCUGGCGGCGUGCUUAACACAUGCAAGUCGAACGGAAAGGCCCUGCUUUUGUGGGGUGCUCGAGUGGCGAACGGGUGAGUAACACGUGAGUAACCUGCCCUUGACUUUGGGAUAACUUCAGGAAACUGGGGCUAAUACCGGAUAGGAGCUCCUGCUGCAUGGUGGGGGUUGGAAAGUUUCGGCGGUUGGGGAUGGACUCGCGGCUUAUCAGCUUGUUGGUGGGGUAGUGGCUUACCAAGGCUUUGACGGGUAGCCGGCCUGAGAGGGUGACCGGCCACAUUGGGACUGAGAUACGGCCCAGACUCCUACGGGAGGCAGCAGUGGGGAAUAUUGCACAAUGGGCGGAAGCCUGAUGUAGCAACGCCGCGUGCGGGAUGACGGCCUUCGGGUUGUAAACCGCUUUCGCCUGUGACGAAGCGUGAGUGACGGUAAUGGGUAAAGAAGCACCGGCUAACUACGU
This 467-nucleotide ribosomal RNA is filed under the name uncultured bacterium. RNAcentral describes it as "partial 16S ribosomal RNA". It matches the Rfam family "Bacterial small subunit ribosomal RNA", at positions 28 to 506 of the family's 1533-position model. The record is from RNAcentral.